CUCAGUCCACACAGGGAGAAGGCCGCUUUAAACCAGUGUCAAAAUGUGUAACUCUUCUCAUUGAGAUACACCCAAUCAACAACACAAAGGUCCUGAAGGCAGUGGACUGCAAAGUCAAAGUGCAGUUUCUUCAUCCUAAGACAUGUCGGACCACCGUACUGGAGAGUCAUUUGCUGUUGGCGGCAGAGGAUGGCUAUGUUGAUCAGUACCACAUUACUCGGAUGAGGCAGGAG
RNAcentral lists this long non-coding RNA (233 nucleotides) under Sinocyclocheilus anshuiensis. RNAcentral's name for it is "lncRNA (ENSSANG00000006770.1)". The record is from RNAcentral. Lineage: Eukaryota; Metazoa; Chordata; Actinopteri; Cypriniformes; Cyprinidae.